ACGAAGGGGGCUAGCGUUGCUCGGAAUGACUGGGCGUAAAGGGCGCGUAGGCGGUUUGGACAGUCAGGCGCGAAAUUCCUGGGCUUAACCUGGGGGCUGCGUUUGAUACGUUCAGACUUGAGUGAGGAAGAGGGUCGUGGAAUUCCCAGUGUAGAGGUGAAAUUCGUAGAUAUUGGGAAGAACACCGGUGGCGAAGGCGGCGACCUGGUCCUUGACUGACGCUGAGGCGCGAAGGCGUGGGGAGCAAACAGGAUUAGAUACCCUGGUAGUCCACGCCGUAAACGAUGUGCGCUGGAUGUUGGGGGGCUUAGCCCUUCAGUGUCGUAGCUAACGCGGUAAGCGCACCGCCUGGGGAGUACGGCCGCAAGGUUG
Molecule: ribosomal RNA, 372 nt
Filed under: uncultured bacterium
Lineage: Bacteria
Description: bacterial SSU rRNA
Rfam family: Bacterial small subunit ribosomal RNA
Source: RNAcentral